CUUACCCAUUUCCGGGGGAUAACAGUUGGAAACAGCUGCUAAUACCGCAUAAGCCUAAGGGUAAAAGAAGUAAUUCGGGAAUGGAGAGACUCGCGUCCUAUCAGCUAGUAGGUGAGAUAAGAGCUCACCUAGGCUAAGACGGGUAACCGGACUGAGAGGUCGAACGGUCACACUGGAACUGAGACACGGUCCAGACUCCUACGGGAGGCAGCAGUGGGGAAUUUUGGGCAAUGGGGGGAACCCUGACCCAGCGACGCCGCGUGAGUGAAGAUUUUCCUCGGAAUGUAUAGCUCUGUUGUAUGGGAAGAUAAUGACGGUACCAUACGAGGAAGCCCCGGCAAACUACGUGCCAGCAGCCGCGGUAAUACGUAAGGGGCAAGCGUUGUCCGGAAUUACUGGGCGUAAAGCGCACGCAGGCGGAAUUGUAAGUCCGUUGUAAAAUUCAGAGGCUCAACCUCUGUCUGUCGGCGGAUACUGCAAAUCUAAAGUAUGUGAAAGGGAAGUGGAAUUCCUGGCGUAGCGGUGAAAUGCGUAAAUAUCAAGAGGAACUCCGGUGGCGAAAGCGACUUCCUGGCACAAGACUGACGCUCAUGUGCGAAAGCUAGGGUAGCGAACGGGAUUAGAUACCCCCGGUAGUCCUAACCGUAAAUGAUGGAUACUA
Molecule: ribosomal RNA, 661 nt
Filed under: uncultured bacterium
Lineage: Bacteria
Description: bacterial SSU rRNA
Rfam family: Bacterial small subunit ribosomal RNA
Source: RNAcentral